RNAcentral lists this ribosomal RNA (464 nucleotides) under uncultured Klebsiella sp. RNAcentral describes it as "bacterial SSU rRNA". It matches the Rfam family "Bacterial small subunit ribosomal RNA", at positions 338 to 795 of the family's 1533-position model. Lineage: Bacteria; Pseudomonadati; Pseudomonadota; Gammaproteobacteria; Enterobacterales; Enterobacteriaceae. The record is from RNAcentral.
CCUACGGGUGGCAGCAGUGGGGAAUAUUGCACAAUGGGCGCAAGCCUGAUGCAGCCAUGCCGCGUGUGUGAAGAAGGCCUUCGGGUUGUAAAGCACUUUCAGCGGGGAGGAAGGCGGUGAGGUUAAUAACCUCAUCGAUUGACGUUACCCGCAGAAGAAGCACCGGCUAACUCCGUGCCAGCAGCCGCGGUAAUACGGAGGGUGCAAGCGUUAAUCGGAAUUACUGGGCGUAAAGCGCACGCAGGCGGUCUGUCAAGUCGGAUGUGAAAUCCCCGGGCUCAACCUGGGAACUGCAUUCGAAACUGGCAGGCUAGAGUCUUGUAGAGGGGGGUAGAAUUCCAGGUGUAGCGGUGAAAUGCGUAGAGAUCUGGAGGAAUACCGGUGGCGAAGGCGGCCCCCUGGACAAAGACUGACGCUCAGGUGCGAAAGCGUGGGGAGCAAACGGGAUUAGUACCCGGGUAGUC